This 700-nucleotide ribosomal RNA is filed under the name uncultured Flavobacteriia bacterium. Its description in RNAcentral is "bacterial SSU rRNA". It matches the Rfam family "Bacterial small subunit ribosomal RNA", at positions 63 to 756 of the family's 1533-position model. Lineage: Bacteria; Pseudomonadati; Bacteroidota; Flavobacteriia. The record is from RNAcentral.
CGAGGGGCAGCACGGGUAGCAAUACCUGGUGGCGACCGGCAAACGGGUGCGGAACACGUACGCAACCUUCCCAUAACUGGUGAAUAGCCCUCCGAAAGGAGGAUUAAUACACCGUAACAUAACGAAAAGGCAUCUUUUUGUUAUUAUAGGCUUCGGCCGGUUUUGGAUGGGCGUGCGCCUGAUUAGGUAGUUGGCGGGGUAACGGCCCACCAAGCCUGCGAUCAGUAACUGGUGUGAGAGCACGACCAGUCACACGGGCACUGAGACACGGGCCCGACUCCUACGGGAGGCAGCAGUAAGGAAUAUUGGUCAAUGGACGAAAGUCUGAACCAGCCAUGCCGCGUGAAGGAUUAAGGCCCUCUGGGUUGUAAACUUCUUUUAUCUGGGACGAAAAAAGGGUAUUCUUACUCACUUGACGGUACCAGAGGAAUAAGCACCGGCUAACUCCGUGCCAGCAGCCGCGGUAAUACGGAGGGUGCAAGCGUUAUCCGGAUUUACUGGGUUUAAAGGGUGCGUAGGUGGGUUUGUAAGUCAGUGGUGAAAUCUCCGAGCUUAACUCGGAAACUGCCAUUGAUACUAUAGAUCUUGAAUUAUCUGGAGGUAAGCGGAAUAUGUCAUGUAGCGGUGAAAUGCUUAGAUAUGACAUAGAACACCAAUUGCGAAGGCAGCUUACUACGGAUAUAUUGACACUGAGGCACGA